RNAcentral lists this ribosomal RNA (487 nucleotides) under uncultured Anaeroplasma sp. Its description in RNAcentral is "partial 16S ribosomal RNA". Lineage: Bacteria; Bacillati; Mycoplasmatota; Mollicutes; Anaeroplasmatales; Anaeroplasmataceae. The record is from RNAcentral.
CGCGUAGUUAGCCGGAGCUUAUUCCUCAGGUACCGUCAAAUUCCUCUUUCUUCCCUGAUAAAAGAACUUUACAUUACGAAUAACUUCUUCGUUCACGCGGCGUUGCUCGGUCAGGGUUCCCCCCAUUGCCGAAAAUUCCCUACUGCUGCCUCCCGUAGGAGUAUGGACCGUUCUCAGUUCCAUUGUGGCCGUUCAACCUCUCAGUCCGGCUACGCAUCAUCGCCUUGGUAGGCCCUUACCCCACCAACUAGCUAAUGCGCCACAGGCCCCUCCUUAAGCAGAUCUCUCUUUUAAAUAUAAAAAGAUUCUUCCUCUAUAUCCUAAUCCAGUUUUAUCCAUCGUUUCCAAUGGCUAUCCUCGUCUUAAGGGUAGGUUACCUAUGUAUUACUCACCCGUUCGCCACUAAAAGUACCCGAAGGUACUUCCGUUCGACUUGCAUGUAUUAGGCACGCCGCCAGCGUAAUCCUGAGCCAGGAUCAAAACUACU